AACGUAGGACGCAAGCGUUAUCCGGAAUUACUGGGCGUAAAGCGCGCGCAGGCGGGUUAUCAAGUCAUGUGUGAAAGCUCCCGGCUAAACUGGGAGAGGUCAGAUGAUACUGAUAGCCUGGAGUGCAUCAGAGGUAAGUGGAAUUCCGCGUGUAGUGGUGAAAUGCGUAGAUAUGCGGAGGAACACCAGUGGCGAAGGCGGCUUACUGGGAUGCAACUGACGCUGAGGCGCGAAAGCAUGGGUAGCGAAC
RNAcentral lists this ribosomal RNA (250 nucleotides) under uncultured bacterium. RNAcentral describes it as "partial 16S ribosomal RNA". It matches the Rfam family "Bacterial small subunit ribosomal RNA", at positions 524 to 773 of the family's 1533-position model. The record is from RNAcentral.